RNAcentral lists this signal recognition particle RNA (299 nucleotides) under Cebus imitator (Panamanian white-faced capuchin). Its description in RNAcentral is "Metazoan signal recognition particle RNA (ENSCCAG00000013746.1)". It matches the Rfam family "Metazoan signal recognition particle RNA". From Rfam's summary of the family: The signal recognition particle (SRP) is a universally conserved ribonucleoprotein. The record is from RNAcentral. Lineage: Eukaryota; Metazoa; Chordata; Mammalia; Primates; Cebidae.
GCUGGGCACGGUGGCGCGUGCCUGUAGUCCCAGCUACUCAGGAGGCUGAGGCUGGAGGAUCGCUUGAGCCCAGGAGUUCUGGGCUUUAGCAUGCUUUACCAAUCGGGUGUCUGCACUAAGUUCAGCAUCAAUAUGGUGACCUCCCAGGAACGGGGGACCACCAGGUUGCCUAAGGAGGGGUGAAGGGGCCCAGGUCAGAAACCAAGCAGGUCAAAACUCCCAUGCUGAUCAGUAGUGGGAUCGCACCUGUGAAUAGCCACUGCACUCCAGCUUGGGCAACAUAGGUAGACCCCGUCUCU